This is a long non-coding RNA of Orussus abietinus, 555 nucleotides long. RefSeq lists it as uncharacterized. NCBI's taxonomy places the organism in Eukaryota, Metazoa, Arthropoda, Insecta, Hymenoptera, Orussidae. The record is from RefSeq and is a predicted model, not a curated record. The transcript has 3 exons.
GGGUAGAGAAUGAGUUAAAGGGCGAGAGAAAGAGCGCGCAAGGGGGAGGGGGGGGGGCGAAGUGAGGUAGGAAGAGAGGAAGGAAGGGAGGAGAAGGUGCGAAGGGGGAAUACUGUAAAGCGCAAGCGUGGCACCGUGUGGCGCGUGUUAGAAGUUGGCUCGAAACUCGGGUUUAGUCUCUUCCGUCCCUUUGUCCGUUCUCGUCCCUGCCGAGUUCUUCGACUAAAUCCCGUCGGACACACGUGUUGCGCCACUGAAAAACGACGGACUUGAACGGAUUGUUUUCACUUCAACUUAGGACGACUAGAAAGAGAAUUAUGUACGAAAAGAGUUACCUCAUGGUCCCUGCGUUCUUUGUGAUCGUGGUGUGAGCAAGGUGACGGCAAAUCACGAAUCCGAUUCAGCAGCAAAUGGUCCACGAAUUCUCUUAUUCAUUCGGUCCGAAUAGGUUCGAUACGUUUGUAACCCAAAGGUGAAGCCGCUGCCGCACUUGGCAGACUUCGAUCAGAAGUAUUUCUUAACGAUUGUCGGAUUUAUUUUUACACGUCCGAUUCA